AAAGGUUUAGGUUCAACCUCAGACCAAAGGCCUUCAAAGCCUUAAGUAGGUGUUAAACCACCUAACCUUUG
Molecule: transfer RNA, 71 nt
Filed under: Notamacropus eugenii (tammar wallaby)
Lineage: Eukaryota; Metazoa; Chordata; Mammalia; Diprotodontia; Macropodidae
Description: tRNA-Trp
Rfam family: tRNA
About the family: Transfer RNA (tRNA) molecules are approximately 80 nucleotides in length. Their secondary structure includes four short double-helical elements and three loops (D, anti-codon, and T loops).
Source: RNAcentral